UUGUAAUCGCGGAUCAGCAUGCCGCGGUGAAUACGUUCCCGGGCUUGUACAACACCGCCCGUCAACACCAUGAGAGUUUGUAACACCCAAAGUCGGUGGGGUAACCUUUUAGGAGCCAGCCGC
RNAcentral lists this ribosomal RNA (123 nucleotides) under Limosilactobacillus fermentum. Its description in RNAcentral is "Lactobacillus fermentum partial 16S ribosomal RNA". It matches the Rfam family "Bacterial small subunit ribosomal RNA", at positions 1336 to 1456 of the family's 1533-position model. Lineage: Bacteria; Bacillati; Bacillota; Bacilli; Lactobacillales; Lactobacillaceae. The record is from RNAcentral.